GAUAGCUAGAACAGGCUAGAGUUGGAUAUUUCCCUUCUCCCAAGUCAGUUAGGUUCCAAUAGAACCCCAAUAGUAUAGGGUCUGGCAAAAUAGUUCUCUUGAGAGCAGAUUUUGUUAAGAAGAACAGAAUGCUCUGGUAUGUUUCAAAGUGAUUACUUUUUCUCUUUCCUAGCUGGAAGCUCUGAGAGAAUAUUUUCACCAUUUUUCACUAUGAGAACCUGGCAGGACUCCUGGAGAAUUGCUGGUGGACCUACUACAAGUUGAUUUGUGAGAGUCUACUUUCAUGAGGAUUUUCUUUUGGUGGAAGGAGAGAAGACAGAAGCAGAAAGGCACAGAGGCCAUGGAAGGGAAGAAGCAUGGAGGGUAUUGAAGGGGUCUGUCCCUAUCCACCAGUCCAGCCCCCAAGAUUUCUACCUGAACUAUAGGAGCAAAAGUGCUACCAGGGUGAGCUCUUUUGUUAUGAAACAGUUUUUGAGAUGCUGGUACAUAGACAUCAUGGAUUUGGUGCCCAGAAGAUAUUUUGGUAGAGUGCCUUAGCCUAGUAGCUAAGAGAGAGCUCUGGAGGCAUUUCCUUGAAUUUAAACCUUAGCUCUGCAAAUUUCUAGCUUUGUGAGCUUAGAAAAAUUACCUCACUAAGCCUCAGUUUCCCAUCUGUAUUAGUUUUCUGUAGCUGCCUUAGCAAAUUACCACAAACUCAGUAAACAAGAGAAAUUUAUUCUCUUGCUGUUCUGGAGGCCAGGAUUCUGAAAUCAAGGUGUUGGUGGGGCCAUCCUGCCUGGGAGGCUCUGGUGGAGAAUUUGUUGCUUGCCUCUUUUAGCUUCUGGUGUUUGCUGGCAUUUUUCAGAGUUCCUUGGCUUGUGGCUGUACCAUUCCAAGCUCUGCCUCUGUCUUUACAUCCCUUUCUCUCUCUAUCUCUGGUGUGUGAGAUCUCCUUCUUCCUCUCUCUUCUAAGACACUUGUGAUUGGAUUUAGAACCCACCUAGGCAAUCUAGGAUAAUCUCCCCACAUCAAGAUCCUUGCCCUAAUCACAUCUGCAAAGACUCUUUUCCUUUAUAAGGUAGCAUUGCAGGUCCCAGGGAUUAGGACUUGAAAGUUUUGGGGGCCCGUUUCUCAGCCAACUGCAACAUCCUACGAAGUGGUGAUAAUAAAAAUGCCUUUCUCCUAGUCUUGUGAUGAUAAAGAAGAAAACACAGAUAAAAUAUUUAGCAUAGUUCCUGGCAUACUAUAAACAUUAAUAAAUGCUAAUUCUUCUUCUCACUGAACUAAAAACUCUUUGUAAGCGGUUACCAUGUCCGUCUUUACACACUGUUGUAGCCCUGGUGACCAGCAGGAUGCUAUCAACAACAAAUAUUUGUUGAAAGAAGUGUAGUUAAAAGGAAUAUAUUCCCCCAAAUUUAUUUUCUCUAAAUAUGACUUGAGUACACUGAGAAAUCUGGAGGGUACACUUUGGAGAGUUGGGGUUUCAGCCUUGGGGCCACUGGGUUAGUGCCUUUAGGAGAAAUAGCAUUGCUGUCAAGUGGGUACCACACGGCUGGUAGUGGCGGGGAGGCUAUUUCCAAGUGGCCCAGGGAAGGCUUUUGUCUGGAAGCAGAUCAAGGCAGAUAAAACUGACUGUGAGCUCACAUGAGACACCAUAGGGAAUUCCAAAAAUACCUCAGUGAGUGAAAUUUUGCUGGGAUCUGGGAGCCAUGUCUUAACAGAAAGGAGCAAGACCUUGAUUUAGGACAAACGAAUAAAAUAAGCGUAUUGAUGCUUUGUUAGAGUCACCUUGCUCAUAGAGUCA
Equus caballus (horse) is the source of this 1783-nucleotide long non-coding RNA. The record is from Ensembl. NCBI's taxonomy places the organism in Eukaryota, Metazoa, Chordata, Mammalia, Perissodactyla, Equidae.